GCAUGUUGCUUAGCAAUACAGGACUAGGAUAAGCUAUGCUUGAAGUCUUCUUCCUCUGCUAAAUGUCCUGUAGUGACCAUUACUAGAGGAAAAAUAGACUUUUUCAUCAUCUUCUUAUUGUUUCCAGGGGAGUUUCUCCCAUGUCCAUAUUGCAUUUGCUUUGGAUUCCCCCUCCUCCCAAUAUUCUCACAUUAAAUUUUUCUUAGACACAGCAACUGCUCUCACCUCUCUCAUAUAUCUAAUACAUUUCUCAGUUGUAGGCUCUUUAGUGGGAAUUUUCUACCUCCUUUUUAGAUAACUGAAUUCAUUACAGAUUUAAGAAAACAAAUCUGGAAUGUCACAGGACAAUACCUGCAGGAAAAAUAACCUUGGGAAGACAACGUGGAGAGCUGCUUCCUUUUGAAACCACUGGUUAUCUAAGAACAAACCUGUCUGGCCUUCAAGAUCCUGCAUCACACAAAGCUACAGCACCUUGUGGUACUCGUGCUCAGCACACCUGAGCACACAUCUACCUAAAGAAACAGAACAAAUAGUUCAGGAUCUCCUGGCGGCUCCAUCUGUAAUCCCAGCAGUCACACUGCCUCGGGGGCACUCUUAUUAGCUCUUCCAAUCAUUGCUGUUGCAAAUUUCACUUGUGAAGUCUUUGUUGGUAAUUUUCCUCCACCCAUUAAAUAGCUUCUAUAUCUCAAACUCAACAUUAAAAUUGCAUGGUCAGUGUUUUUGAGCAGAAAAGAUUGGUCAACAGGGGAGAUGACUUCACUAUCCAUCAUAAAUGCUCUGGCACCAAUGUCAUUUAUGCAUCUGCUUAAUCAAAGAAGACAACCUUCAACAUGGAAGAUGGGGAAGGAUAAAAUAUAACAGAAAGGUAUUUUAAUUAAGCUACAAAAAGCUUGCUGGCUGAUCAGUCUCUGAGAGGCCACUCGGGUGUGGCUGAGGGACAGCAGUGUUGGCUCUGCAAUUCCAGCUGCAAGCACUGGGAAUGUCAGGAGGAGGUAACAGUUG
Long non-coding RNA from Passer domesticus (house sparrow), 1002 nucleotides. RefSeq lists it as uncharacterized. The transcript is spliced from 3 exons. The record is from RefSeq and is a predicted model, not a curated record. Lineage: Eukaryota; Metazoa; Chordata; Aves; Passeriformes; Passeridae.